UAUUGAGUGAGAGCAUAUCAUCCUUCAAGUGCUCUGAAGGUUACAUUAUGUGUGAAAGACUUCCCUUCCGCAAGGCGGAUGUACGAUGUUGCUAUACAUGUGCAUGUCGACGUCCUUACAAGACCUCCAACCUUCACACUGUGGAGUUGCACUUGCAAGUACUCAAGCACAAAAACCUAAGACAAUUUUACCCUCGGAUUGCUACUCCGACAAGGCCCCAAUAAUGUUCACGGAGGACAACGUGAGUUGAUCGUUUCCAUGCAAGUUGAUUUCGCCAUGUCUAAUCCACUCUUUCUUUUUCAACAUGAGAUGCUUCUGAUGAUAAGAACACCAAGAUCAGUAAACAUAAUAAGAUGGGUGUUUUGAAGGGCUGCUGCUGCUUCUUUCCCUAGCUCCGAGAAGUCCAUCUUGGAUGGAUGGCACACAAAGCUGUCUCAGUUCCUUGGAAGGCUGGAAAGCUGGCAGGAGUCUGAGGCCAAAACACUUGGGCUCUUCUUGCUUGCACUAUCACCAACAAAAAGCGAGGCAGAAAGUGUGGUGUCAUGCACUAGCCAGCCAGCCAGCCAGCCAGCCAAAAAAUUAUUUGACCUACUGGUGGUGGGGGGUCCUCAGCACCACCUCACAUUCUGGUGGCCACAGCCCAGUGGUGAGAGUGGGGUCCUGUCAUUGCCCUCACCAUGCAGAAUAAUGAGAGAGAAGGAAAAGGGAACAGUUGGAGCUUCUUUUGAGGAAAGAGAAGUACAGUAGACCACUCAAGGCACCUGGAGGCAGUUUCAGCAUUGUACAUCAAGGAUGGAUUUGAUGUGUUGAGGCUUUCAUCUCAGAUACUACUCUCAUCACUUGCACAGAGAGAGAGAGAGAGAGAGAGAGAGAGAGAGAGAGAGAAUGUGCAAAGAUAGAUAUGUUUAAUCCAACAAGUUAGAUCCUUGAGGCAUCAAGAACAUGAACCUGAGUAGAAGAAGAUGCCAUUAAACUUGGCCAGGACCCUGCUAGAGUUGGGUAGCAGAUGAAAUGUAGCAGUACGGCUGCUUCAUGCCAACAUGUGGGAUUACCAUGAGAAGAACAAACCUGUUGCUUCAGAUCUUUUUUCUCUUCAUACAUGGUAUUACGGUUCUUCUCUGUCAGAGAUCAGAUCUCAUUGCGAUGAGCUGCAUGAGGGAGAAAGAGCUCAAAACCGAAAACAUUCAGUACACUAAUCAACAUCCACAACAUAAAAUGUCAACCAUUUAUGUACCAGAAACAAAGUAAGUCAAGAUGCAUAUGGAUGGCUGCAUAAAACUUGCUCCUAGAGAGAGAGAGAGAGAGAUCACAGCUAUAUUUCUUGUGGCAACUGUGUAUGUAUGCUAUUUGUAAUCUUUCAACCCAAAAGAGCAUAAAAGGCAGAGCUCGUCAUCAUAUAUCUUGUUCAUGAUCAUGUGAGAGCAGUUGAUGCUCACAUGUUAUAUAAGAAAAUGAAUAGAAAUCAAUACUAUUAAAGCAAUAUAUCUUUAUUUGAGAUUCAAUAUGGAAGAGAGAGAGAGAGAGAGAGAGAGAGAGAGAAGCCCCAUCCAAAUAUUUCUCAGGGAUCUGACACAUCUGAACCCUAGAGAAUCUCAGCAGAGAGAAUGAGACUUACAUUGGAAACUAUUAUAAGCAUAUACAACCACACUGGGAGCAAAGGAAUUAAAAGGAAUAGAGAGAGGAAGGAAAUGCUGAUCCAACUUGACAAACUACCAAAAGUGUCUCUCUCAUUUACUCACAUUUCUAACGUUUACUCGAUCCAUAUCAAAAGAUGAAAGAAUCAUAAAAUCUCUACAAAAAUAACAAGCUAUCCUGUCACACACAUUGAAUAGGAAAAGAUACAAUAGAAUUCUCACUGGCAUACUUGACAUACAGAAUGGAUAUAUGCACGCCAUGCAAAAAGAUGUCUUCCAUUUAUUUGUAUCUAUGAUUUGUGGUGAAGCAGUAAAAUACCACCGAGAAGCAAAGAAAGGAUCUUUGCAUAGAAUAAGAACACUUACCUUACAUCUUCCCUCUAAGAAAUGACAAACAAUCACGGUUCUCUGAAACCUUCAAUCCUGUCUCUGACCAGCGCUUGAGUUCUGCAAAGGAAUGUAACCCAUCACCGACAACCGAACCUUAGAUUUGAGAUCAUAUGCUUCUUAUAUCCAAAUCUGAGCGCCAUAUGAAAUGACUGCAAGAUCAGAGAGAGAGAGAGAGAGAGAGAGAGAGAGGCAUGCUUGGCUCCUUGCACGCCACCCACAAUAGAGCCAAUCACCCCAUGAAUUGGUCUAUAUGUGUGGCAUACAGGGAGCCAGGCAUAACCCAUUUCACCUGCGCUCUUCCUCUACAUGGCAGAAACAAACCUAAACCUAUACUCACUCAUUCAAUGGGAGUAAAGGAGUGCAAAGGCCAUUUCUCUUCCCACUAUAACCAUCAGGCCGUGACUACAAAGCUGUUCCCCAUGGAGAAAUGGAUAGACAACAUGAUCUGAAACCCUACACCGCCUAAUAUUUGUAGAGAGAGAGAGAGAGAGAGAGAGAGGUAAAGAGAAAC
RNAcentral lists this long non-coding RNA (2535 nucleotides) under Musa acuminata (dwarf banana). RNAcentral describes it as "long non-coding RNA (MACU_LNC000679)". The record is from RNAcentral. Lineage: Eukaryota; Viridiplantae; Streptophyta; Magnoliopsida; Zingiberales; Musaceae.